RNAcentral lists this ribosomal RNA (397 nucleotides) under uncultured bacterium. RNAcentral describes it as "partial 16S ribosomal RNA". It matches the Rfam family "Bacterial small subunit ribosomal RNA", at positions 338 to 732 of the family's 1533-position model. The record is from RNAcentral.
CCUACGGGAGACAGCAGUGAGGAAUAUUGGUCAAUGGGCGGGAGCCUGAACCAGCCAAGUCGCGUGAGGGAAGACGGUCCUAUGGAUUGUAAACCUCUUUAGGCGGGGAGCAAUGCCGGGCACGCGUGCCCGGAGGGAGAGUACCCGCAGAAUAAGCAUCGGCUAACUCCGUGCCAGCAGCCGCGGUAAUAAGGAGGAUGCGAGCGUUAUCCGGAUUUAUUGGGGUUAAAGGUUGCGGAGGCGGAUUUUUAAGUCAGCGGUAAAAUGUCCGGGCUCAACCCGGGCCGGCCGUUGAAAUUGGGGAUCUUGAGUGGGCGAGAAGUAUGCGGAAUGCGUGGUGUAGCGGUGAAAUGCAUAGAGAUCACGCAGAACUCCGAUUGCGAAGGCAGCAUAACGG